Molecule: long non-coding RNA, 599 nt
Filed under: Ornithorhynchus anatinus (platypus)
Lineage: Eukaryota; Metazoa; Chordata; Mammalia; Monotremata; Ornithorhynchidae
Description: lncRNA (ENSOANG00000047871.1)
Source: RNAcentral
GCAGUGAUAGGACAGCAUGAAUAGCCGGCAAACUUCUUGAGAACUGAGAAGAUAGACCUCGUUUCUGUUAAAUUUUCCUCAGUGCACAGUACAGUGCUUAGGGCUCAGUAGGCAUUCUAUAAGUACCACUGAUGGACUGAGUUCCCCUUUUCUUCUCCAUAGCUAGGCCAAACUCAACUCAAGACUACCGGAGAGGAAUUGAGGAAUUCUUCUGCCGAGUAUCAUCCCAAAGCAGUGCCUUGAUUCACCAUUCAGGAGAGCAGUGUUCACGUGUUCUAUUCAUCACAGAAGAGAAAAGCCCCCUUCAGUCUCCAGAAAGUGAUGAAUGAAAAGGACUUUCAAAGCCGAGUCGUUUAUUUCAGAUUCCCCGUGAAAAGUUGCUCUUGGGAAACAGAUAGGAGCAGUCUUCAGCCAUCUUAACCCAACCCUGGAAAUGGCAAAUGAAUUCACAACCUCAGAUCAUUACCAAAAUACCAGUAAGUGGAACUCUAGUCCCUAUUACAACCGGAGUAAAUAACAGAGGGCAUAAAUCCAGAUAGAACCAAGAAACAAAGGCCGUGCUUCAGAAGUAAAUAGUACUUAUAUAUUUAUAAACUCCC